Molecule: long non-coding RNA, 808 nt
Organism: Daphnia pulex (common water flea)
Lineage: Eukaryota; Metazoa; Arthropoda; Branchiopoda; Diplostraca; Daphniidae
Exons: 2
Source: RefSeq, a predicted model, not a curated record
GAGCGGUACACCGCAAAAUGUGUGCCGUCAACUGUUUCCAACUGACGUGAGAGAUCUGUUGGAGCAUUGAUCAUUCGCUCCUUUUUUCUCUCUAUUUCUUCUAGUGUACACACAAAGUCGUCGCCAAUUGUAUUGCGUGUUGAAUGGGGAAAUCGUCGCCUCCGCCGGAUGAGAAGCAAACACUCGUGAGCGAUGCGUCCGAGUUGAGGCAGUACGGAUCCGCACCACCAAUCCAUUCGUUGACAACAGGUCGAAAUCGGAUGCGCUCGGGCGAAAGCGACGCCAAGACGAUCCAGCAUCAAAUGAGUGGAAUGAACACGGUCCUAAUAACUGCCGGCCAACCAAUGAGCACCGACCGGAAGUCGUUGGCAGCCGCCACAGCAUCGCGACACAAAGAAAUGGAAGAGCCUCAAGACUUUGAAUCGAUCGUCAAAAUCCGCUUGUUUCUCGCAACGGCAGCCCUUUGGCUCCUUUGGCUCCUAGUUUACGUCAUCCUCUCCCACUGGCGCCUUAUUUGAGACAUAACAUACCCCACGAUCCGCACCACAAAUUCCGGCGCCAUUCACGCGCACAUCCUUUCGGGCUCCGGAUCAAAAUCGAAAUGUUUCUCUUAUUUUUUGAAAUUUUUGAAAUUUUUGUAUUUUGUCAUGUGCGGAGAAAUAAUUUCUUUUUUAAGAAUAAAAAGAUGAAAGUGAAAAAGCGGGAAAAAAUGUGGCAAUAACCGACAGUAGAGACAAGAGCCAAUGACUAGUCCAACACACCAAUAAAAGAAGGAAAUCAAUUUUUGGCGGGAAUUUCAAACAAGAAA